UACGAAGGGGGCUAGCGUUGCUCGGAAUUACUGGGCGUAAAGGGAGCGUAGGCGGAUAGUUAAGUCAGAGGUGAAAGCCCAGGGCUCAACCUUGGAAUUGCCUUUGAUACUGAGGAUCUUGAGUUCGGGAGAGGUGAGUGGAACUGCGAGUGUAGAGGUGAAAUUCGUAGAUAUUCGCAAGAACACCAGUGGCGAAGGCGGCUCACUGGCCCGGUACUGACGCUGAGGUGCGAAAGCGUGGGGAGCAAACAGG
RNAcentral lists this ribosomal RNA (253 nucleotides) under uncultured bacterium. Its description in RNAcentral is "partial 16S ribosomal RNA". It matches the Rfam family "Bacterial small subunit ribosomal RNA", at positions 524 to 776 of the family's 1533-position model. The record is from RNAcentral.